RNAcentral lists this long non-coding RNA (407 nucleotides) under Medicago truncatula (barrel medic). Its description in RNAcentral is "lncRNA gene10539". Lineage: Eukaryota; Viridiplantae; Streptophyta; Magnoliopsida; Fabales; Fabaceae. The record is from RNAcentral.
UUUCACUAGAGUCAUGGGAAAAAUAAACUAAAAAAGUAUAUGAUUGAAAACAAUUGUAGAAAUAAGAGGUUGAAGAGGCGACAAUGUACCGGUGGUGAUAUUGGUCGAUGUUGAUACCGGAGGUGUGACAAGCGGAGUCGGUCUUUUGACAGGAUGGUGGAAUUGAUGCUUUGGCGGUUCAUCACUUGGGUUCCCGAGGUUAGUUUAUUGUGGCAGUUUUAUCAAACAAUUUGAAACCUAUUAAGUUGUAUUUCUUUCUUAUGAUUAACUUCUUGGUAUCUACAUUAAUUUUGUAAUUCAUGUUGUUUGUAACUUUGGCAUCCCCAAAAUUAGAGGAGACAAAUACUCAUCAUCAAGUUUGUCAAAAUCAGUAUUUUACUUCAGAUCGAAAGGAAUUAGUAAAAUGA